This 1597-nucleotide ribosomal RNA is filed under the name bacterium B4 ZZ-2008. Its description in RNAcentral is "bacterial SSU rRNA". It matches the Rfam family "Bacterial small subunit ribosomal RNA". The record is from RNAcentral.
UUCGAGCUCGGUACCCGGGGAUCCUCUAGAGAUUGGAUCCGAUAUCAGAGUUUGAUCCUGGCUCAGGAUGAACGCUGGCGGCGUGCCUAAUACAUGCAAGUCGAGCGAAUGAUGAGGAGCUUGCUCCUCUGAUUUAGCGGCGGACGGGUGAGUAACACGUGGGUAAUCUGCCUGUAAGACGGGGAUAACUCCGGGAAACCGGGGCUAAUACCGGAUAAUAAGAGAAGAAGCAUUUCUUCUUUUUGAAAGUCGGUUUCGGCUGACACUUACAGAUGAGCCCGCGGCGCAUUAGCUAGUUGGUGAGGUAACGGCUCACCAAGGCGACGAUGCGUAGCCGACCUGAGAGGGUGAUCGGCCACACUGGGACUGAGACACGGCCCAGACUCCUACGGGAGGCAGCAGUAGGGAAUCUUCGGCAAUGGGCGAAAGCCUGACCGAGCAACGCCGCGUGAGCGAUGAAGGCCUUCGGGUCGUAAAGCUCUGUUGUUAGAGAAGAACAAGUACGAGAGUAACUGCUCGUACCUUGACGGUACCUAACUAGAAAGCCACGGCUAACUACGUGCCAGCAGCCGCGGUAAUACGUAGGUGGCAAGCGUUAUCCGGAAUUAUUGGGCGUAAAGCGCGCGCAGGCGGUCUCUUAAGUCUGAUGUGAAAGCCCACGGCUCAACCGUGGAGGGUCAUUGGAAACUGGGAGACUUGAGUGCAGGAGAGAAAAGUGGAAUUCCACGUGUAGCGGUGAAAUGCGUAGAGAUGUGGAGGAACACCAGUGGCGAAGGCGGCUUUUUGGCCUGUAACUGACGCUGAGGCGCGAAAGCGUGGGGAGCAAACAGGAUUAGAUACCCUGGUAGUCCACGCCGUAAACGAUGAGUGCUAGGUGUUGGGGGGUUCCACCCUCAGUGCUGAAGUUAACACAUUAAGCACUCCGCCUGGGGAGUACGACCGCAAGGUUGAAACUCAAAGGAAUUGACGGGGGCCCGCACAAGCAGUGGAGCAUGUGGUUUAAUUCGAAGCAACGCGAAGAACCUUACCAGGUCUUGACAUCCUUUGACCACUCUAGAGAUAGAGCUUUCCCCUUCGGGGGACAAAGUGACAGGUGGUGCAUGGUUGUCGUCAGCUCGUGUCGUGAGAUGUUGAGUUAAGUCCCGCAACGAGCGCAACCCUUGACCUUAGUUGCCAGCAUUCAGUUGGGCACUCUAAGGUGACUGCCGGUGACAAACCGGAGGAAGGUGGGGAUGACGUCAAAUCAUCAUGCCCCUUAUGACCUGGGCUACACACGUGCUACAAUGGAUGAUACAAAGGGUUGCGAAGCCGCGAGGCCAAGCCAAUCCCAAAAAGUCAUUCUCAGUUCGGAUUGUAGGCUGCAACUCGCCUACAUGAAGCCGGAAUUGCUAGUAAUCGCGGAUCAGCAUGCCGCGGUGAAUACGUUCCCGGGCCUUGUACACACCGCCCGUCACACCACGAGAGUUUGUAACACCCGAAGUCGGUGGGGUAACCCUUUUGGGAGCCAGCCGCCGAAGGUGGGACAGAUGAUUGGGGUGAAGUCGUAACAAGGUAACCGAUAUCGGAUCCAAUCGUCGACCUGCAGGCAUGCAAGCUU